UACAGUUGAUCAGGUUCGGCCUGCCAGGCCUUUUACAGUUGAUCAGACAGUGUUAGACCUUGACUUUGGGUUUGCCAGACCAAGUCAGGCUUCUCCCACGAAAUUAUGACAAGUUGAGGCCUAUAGGCCAGACUAAGUUAAGGCCUAUACUCUCUGUGACAAUUGUGUUUCCAUAGAUGGUUGCCAUGAUCAUGGACCACCACGUCAAAUGAGACAUUAACAUUAGGUAACAUUUCGACUUCUAAGGUUGAGACGAAACAUAGGCAAAUCCUAGUCAUAGAUGAUAUAUGGAUCCUAUGAUCGUUAAAAUCGUAGAGUCAUGACUUAGAUCGUAGAGUAAUUACUUAACAAUCGUAGAGUCAUUACUUAAAUCGUAGAGUUUAGAGUGACUUCAACUUUUACUAUAGCGGAGCUACUCUACUAUCGUAGAGCUACUCAACUACUCUCCCUUCUCUUUCUUUCUAGCGUCCCCCAACUCCGGAUCCCAAAUACACAUACAAGAACAAAGAAAUCUGAGAAUGAAAGCUUAUCCGUCGACGACAGGACAUCUCACAACAGGUAGCAACUAAUAAGCUAACAAAGCAGGUCAGCCCUGUUGCACCGAACCAGGCUGGACUCAGGCCACAUGCAAGUCUAGGUUGGGCUUUUGGCCAGGCCGGUCCAUGCCUGAUUUCUAUACUAAAAGGGAAGCCUUUUCCAGUUUUCUAAGUUGGGCUGGUUCAAGCCUUGACUAGAUCGGACCAAGUCCAGACUGCAGGCCACAAACCUUUUGUACAUUCCUGCC
This 784-nucleotide long non-coding RNA is filed under the name Panax ginseng (ginseng). RNAcentral describes it as "long non-coding RNA (PGIN_LNC016184)". Lineage: Eukaryota; Viridiplantae; Streptophyta; Magnoliopsida; Apiales; Araliaceae. The record is from RNAcentral.